This 791-nucleotide ribosomal RNA is filed under the name uncultured bacterium. Its description in RNAcentral is "bacterial SSU rRNA". It matches the Rfam family "Bacterial small subunit ribosomal RNA", at positions 8 to 795 of the family's 1533-position model. The record is from RNAcentral.
AGAGUUUGAUCCUGGCUCAGAUUGAACGCUGGCGGCAUGCCUUACACAUGCAAGUCGAACGGCAGCACGGAGCUUGCUCUGGUGGCGAGUGGCGAACGGGUGAGUAAUAUAUCGGAACGUACCCUAGAGUGGGGGAUAACGUAGCGAAAGCUUUGCUAAUACCGCAUAAGAUCUACGGAUGAAAGCAGGGGACCGCAAGGCCUUGCGCGAACGGAGCGGCCGAUGGCAGAUUAGGUAGUUGGUGGGGUAAAAGCUUACCAAGCCGACGAUCUGUAGCUGGUCUGAGAGGACGACCAGCCACACUGGGACUGAGACACGGCCCAGACUCCUACGGGAGGCAGCAGUGGGGAAUUUUGGACAAUGGGCGAAAGCCUGAUCCAGCCAUGCCGCGUGCAGGAUGAAGGCCUUCGGGUUGUAAACUGCUUUUGUACGGAACGAAAAGACUCUGGUUAAUACCUGGGGUCCAUGACGGUACCGUAAGAAUAAGCACCGGCUAACUACGUGCCAGCAGCCGCGGUAAUACGUAGGGUGCAAGCGUUAAUCGGAAUUACUGGGCGUAAAGCGUGCGCAGGCGGUUAUAUAAGACAGAUGUGAAAUCCCCGGGCUCAACCUGGGAACUGCAUUUGUGACUGUAUAGCUAGAGUACGGCAGAGGGGGAUGGAAUUCCGCGUGUAGCAGUGAAAUGCGUAGAUAUGCGGAGGAACACCGAUGGCGAAGGGCAUCCCCUGGGGCUGUACUGACGCUCAUGCACGAAAGCGUGAGGAGCAACAGGAUUAGAUACCCUGGUAGUC